GCCUCAGUAGUGCAGUGGCCUAGCACUGAGCCCUGUCGCGGCUUAAACCUGGGUUCGAAUCCCAGCUGAGGCG
Molecule: transfer RNA, 73 nt
Filed under: Candidatus Woesearchaeota archaeon
Lineage: Archaea; Nanobdellati; Candidatus Woesearchaeota
Description: tRNA-Asp
Rfam family: tRNA
About the family: Transfer RNA (tRNA) molecules are approximately 80 nucleotides in length. Their secondary structure includes four short double-helical elements and three loops (D, anti-codon, and T loops).
Source: RNAcentral